AUGAACGCUGGCGGCGUGCCUAAUACAUGCAAGUCGAGCGAACGGACGAGAAGCUUGCUUCUCUGAUGUUAGCGGCGGACGGGUGAGUAACACGUGGAUAACCUACCUAUAAGACUGGGAUAACUUCGGGAAACCGGAGCUAAUACCGGAUAAUAUUUUGAACCGCAUGGUUCAAAAGUGAAAGACGGUCUUGCUGUCACUUAUAGAUGGAUCCGCGCUGCAUUAGCUAGUUGGUAAGGUAACGGCUUACCAAGGCAACGAUGCAUAGCCGACCUGAGAGGGUGAUCGGCCACACUGGAACUGAGACACGGUCCAGACUCCUACGGGAGGCAGCAGUAGGGAAUCUUCCGCAAUGGGCGAAAGCCUGACGGAGCGACGCCGCGUGAGUGAUGAAGGUCUUCGGAUCGUAAAACUCCGUUAUUAGGGAAGAACAUAUGUGUAAGUAACUGUGCACAUCUUGACGGUACCUAAUCAGAAAGCCACGGCUAACUACGUG
This 496-nucleotide ribosomal RNA is filed under the name uncultured bacterium. Its description in RNAcentral is "partial 16S ribosomal RNA". It matches the Rfam family "Bacterial small subunit ribosomal RNA", at positions 29 to 507 of the family's 1533-position model. The record is from RNAcentral.